CCACUUCGGGAUAAGCCUUGGAAACGGGGUCUAGUAGCGGAUAUGAGCUCUGCCUGCAUGGGUGGG
Molecule: ribosomal RNA, 66 nt
Filed under: uncultured Xylanimonas sp.
Lineage: Bacteria; Bacillati; Actinomycetota; Actinomycetes; Micrococcales; Promicromonosporaceae
Description: partial 16S ribosomal RNA
Source: RNAcentral